CAGUAGCCGCGGGAAUACGAAGGGGGCUAGCGUUGUUCGGAAUUACUGGGCGUAAAGCGCACGUAGGCGGACAUUUAAGUCAGGGGUGAAAUCCCGGGGCUCAACCCCGGAACUGCCUUUGAUACUGGGUGUCUAGAGUAUGGAAGAGGUGAGUGGAAUUCCGAGUGUAGAGGUGAAAUUCGUAGAUAUUCGGAGGAACACCAGUGGCGAAGGCGGCUCACUGGUCCAUUACUGACGCUGAGGUGCGAAAGCGUGGGGAGCAAACAGGAUUAGAUACCCCCGUAGUCCCUGUCUCUUAUAA
RNAcentral lists this ribosomal RNA (301 nucleotides) under uncultured bacterium. RNAcentral describes it as "partial 16S ribosomal RNA". It matches the Rfam family "Bacterial small subunit ribosomal RNA", at positions 509 to 809 of the family's 1533-position model. The record is from RNAcentral.